UAAUGUGAAUUGCAGAAUUCAGUGAAUCAUCGAAUCUUUGAACGCACCUUGCGCUCCUUGGUAUUCCGAGGAGCAUGCCUGUUUGAGUGUCAUGGAAUUCUCAACUUAUAAAUCCUUGUGAUCUAUAAGCUUGGACUUGGAGGCUUGCUGGCCCUUGCGG
Molecule: ribosomal RNA, 160 nt
Filed under: Trametes pubescens
Lineage: Eukaryota; Fungi; Basidiomycota; Agaricomycetes; Polyporales; Polyporaceae
Description: 5.8S ribosomal RNA
Rfam family: 5.8S ribosomal RNA (bases 1-92)
About the family: 5.8S ribosomal RNA (5.8S rRNA) is a component of the large subunit of the eukaryotic ribosome. It is transcribed by RNA polymerase I as part of the 45S precursor that also contains 18S and 28S rRNA. Functionally, it is thought that 5.8S rRNA may be involved in ribosome translocation.
Source: RNAcentral